This 874-nucleotide ribosomal RNA is filed under the name Bacillus albus. RNAcentral describes it as "bacterial SSU rRNA". It matches the Rfam family "Bacterial small subunit ribosomal RNA", at positions 64 to 923 of the family's 1533-position model. The record is from RNAcentral. Lineage: Bacteria; Bacillati; Bacillota; Bacilli; Caryophanales; Bacillaceae.
GAGCGAAUGGAUUAAGAGCUUGCUCUUAUGAAGUUACGGCGGACGGGUGAGUAACACGUGGGUAACCUGCCCAUAAGACUGGGAUAACUCCGGGAAACCGGGGCUAAUACCGGAUAACAUUUUGAACCGCAGGGUUCGAAAUUGAAAGGCGGCUUCGGCUGUCACUUAUGGAUGGACCCGCGUCGCAUUAACUAGUUGGUGAGGUAACGGCUCACCAAGGCAACGAUGCGUAACCGACCUGAAGGGUGAUCGGCCACACUGGGACUGAAACACGGCCCAACUCCUACGGGAGGCAGCAGUAGGGAAUCUUCCGCAAUGGACGAAAGUCUGACGGAGCAACGCCACGUGAGUGAUGAAGGCUUUCGGGUCGUAAAACUCUGUUGUUAGGGAAGAACAAGUGCUAGUUGAAUAAGCUGGCACCUUGACGGUACCUAACCAGAAAGCCACGGCUAACUACGUGCCAGCAGCCGCGGUAAUACGUAGGUGGCAAGCGUUAUCCGGAAUUAUUGGGCGUAAAGCGCGCGCAGGUGGUUUCUUAAGUCUGAUGUGAAAGCCCACGGCUCAACCGUGGAGGGUCAUUGGAAACUGGGAGACUUGAGUGCAGAAGAGGAAAGUGGAAUUCCAUGUGUAGCGGUGAAAUGCGUAGAGAUAUGGAGGAACACCAGUGGCGAAAGCGACUUUCUGGUCUGUAACUGACACUGAGGCGCGAAAGCGUGGGGAGCAAACAGGAUUAGAUACCCUGGUAGUCCACGCCGUAAACGAUGAGUGCUAAGUGUUAGAGGGUUUCCGCCCUUUAGUGCUGAAGUUAACGCAUUAGCACUCCGCCUGGGGAGUACGGCCGCAAGGCUGAAACUCAAGAAUUGACGGGGGCCCG